Molecule: RNA transcript, 2503 nt
Organism: Otolemur garnettii (small-eared galago)
Lineage: Eukaryota; Metazoa; Chordata; Mammalia; Primates; Galagidae
Gene: GDAP2
Gene name: ganglioside induced differentiation associated protein 2
Exons: 14
Source: RefSeq, a predicted model, not a curated record
UAGGAGGAAAUGACGUCAGGGGCUGGGCUCUGAUUGGGGAGCGCCUGCUGGGAGCGGAAACCGGUGUUUCGCCGCCCAGAACAUUUGCAGCUGAUCACUCCAGCCUCCGGGGACUGAGAUUUGCCUUAGCCGGCUCGCUUCUGCUGAGGGUUGUCUUGAGAUGUCGCUCGGCCGCUUUUUACCAGGAGCUUAACCUGUCUUGCCCGCCGCCCGGAUGGGACCGCCGGAGUGCUCUAACGUCUCCAGGGAAUAUUGAAUUGCUGAGGAAUUUGGAAAAAGACAAACCACAGUUCUCGUUCCAUGGAUCCCUUGGGUGCCCCUUCCCAGUUUGUAGAUGUGGAUACACUAACAAGCUGGGGGGACUCGUGUGAAGAUGAAUUAAAUUCUUCUGCUACUACAGCUGAAAUAUUUCAUGAAGACACUAUUAGAUCACCUUUUCGUUAUAAUAAGGAUGUCAAUGGAAAAGUGGUUCUUUGGAAAGGAGACGUGGCAUUACUGAACUGUACAGCUAUUGUGAAUACCAGCAAUGAAAGUCUCACAGAUAAGAAUCCUGUGUCAGAAAGGAUCUUCAUGCUUGCAGGGCCUGAUUUGAAAGAAGAUCUCCAAAAACUGAAAGGUUGCCGAACAGGUGAAGCGAAGUUGACCAAAGGGUUUAAUCUGGCUGCCCGGUUCAUCAUUCACACAGUGGGACCUAAAUACAAGAGCCGCUAUCGCACAGCAGCUGAGAGUUCCCUGUACAGCUGCUACAGAAAUGUGCUUCAGCUGGCAAAAGAGCAAUCAAUGUCUUCUGUUGGGUUCUGCGUCAUUAAUUCUGCAAAACGAGGCUAUCCUUUAGAGGAUGCAACACACAUCGCACUUCGCACUGUAAGGAGAUUCUUAGAGAUUCAUGGGGAAACCAUUGAAAAAGUAGUAUUUGCUGUUACUGAUCUUGAAGAGGCUACUUACCAAAAGCUACUACCUCUGUACUUCCCAAGGUCCGUAAAGGAGGAGCACAGGUCAUUGCCAUACCUGCCUGCCGACAUUGGAAACGCAGAAGGGGAGCCCGUGGUGCCUGAACGGCAGAUCAGAAUAAGUGAAAAACCUGGUGCUCCAGAGGACGACCAUGAAGAAGAGGAUGAAGGCUUAGGAGUUGAUCUCUCUUUCAUUGGCUCUCAUGCUUUUGCUCGAAUGGAAGGAGAUAUUGAUAAGCAAAGAAAAUUGAUCCUUCAGGGACAAUUAUCAGAGGCAGCCCUGCAGAAGCAGCAUCAAAGAAAUUAUAAUCGCUGGUUAUGUCAAGCACGAUCCGAGGAUCUGUCCGAUAUUGCUUCUCUAAAAGCCUUAUACCAAACAGGUGUUGAUAACUGUGGUCGAACAGUGAUGGUGGUAGUUGGAAGAAACAUUCCUGUAACAUUAAUAGAUAUGGACAAGGCUCUUUUGUAUUUUAUCCACGUCAUGGAUCACAUUGCUGUGAAGGAAUACGUCUUAGUAUAUUUUCACACACUGACCAGCGAGUACAAUCACCUGGACUCUGACUUCCUGAAGAAACUCUACGAUGUCGUUGAUGUCAAGUAUAAAAGGAAUUUGAAGGCUGUUUAUUUUGUUCAUCCAACAUUUCGUUCAAAGGUGUCAACAUGGUUUUUCACCACCUUUUCUGUCUCAGGACUGAAGGACAAAAUCCACCAUGUAGACAGCCUCCACCAGCUAUUUUCUGCCAUAUCACCAGAACAGAUCGACUUCCCUCCUUUUGUCCUUGAAUAUGAUGCCAGGGUAAGAAGUAUCAGGAGUUCUCACUCACCCAGUGUACAGUAUUAACUAUUCUGUGGAGCAGUGCUGUGAGCACAAAACGCUGUCAGUGCAAGAUAAUGUGCAUGUAAAUCAGUGUGUUUCAGUGAACUUGAUAAUGUCAUUUAACAUUCUUUUUCUAUGGUGACUUUAGGAAAAAGAUUUACCCCAAGAAAAAUAUUUUCUCCAGAUAAAUGUUUCAGUAAGAGAUUUUCCUGCUGUGAAUUUGAAGCCAAUCUUUCGUGGUUGUGCUGUCAGUUUUCUACCACAUUUGAGACACACACUUCUGCCUGAUGUCCUUAGGACUGAAUGGUACAUAAAUCUCUUCUGCAUAAAGUCAGAAAUCUAUUGGUGUCCACCUUCAACAUUAAUUGUGAAUCAGGGAGCCUAUCUUAAUAGUCUUUACCCUGCUAAAAGUUUCAUUUUUCUAAAAGUUUGUAUAAUGUUCUUAAGAAUAUCAACUAUUAGUAUAUUUAUUAUUUAUGGAUCUAUUAAGCAUUAAUCAAAGGAUACUCUUGAAUUUCAUCAAAAUUCUGUUCCAUUAUGUUUAUUCAUGGUACCACCUCAGUAGUUUUUUUAGUGACAAACUUAGCCAGAAGCUCAUCAAGCUCAUUGUUUAACUGUGGCAAUUACAUAUCUUUAUGCACAAAUCAGGGAAUAUAUUUGAAAGUUAUAUUAAGUUUGAAAUGAAUUACUCUUCCCUAAUUAUUGUGCAACAUGUAUACCGUAAAAUAAAAAUCCU